RNAcentral lists this ribosomal RNA (801 nucleotides) under uncultured bacterium. RNAcentral's name for it is "bacterial SSU rRNA". It matches the Rfam family "Bacterial small subunit ribosomal RNA", at positions 9 to 873 of the family's 1533-position model. The record is from RNAcentral.
AGAGUUUGAUCCUGGCUCAGGACGAACGCUGGCGGCGUGCUUAACACAUGCAAGUCGAACGAGGUCCAAUCAUUCGCAAGAAUGAGGAAGACCUAGUGGCGAACGGGUGCGUAACACGUGAGGAACCUAUCCCAGUCUCUGGAAUAACAGGUGGAAACACCUGCUAAUACCGGAUGCCGUUGGACCAUCGCAUGGUGGACCAACGAAAGAUUUAUCGGAUUGGGAGGGCCUCGCGGCCUAUCAGCUUGUUGGUGAGGUAACGGCUCACCAAGGCGUCGACGGGUAGCUGGUCUGAGAGGAUGAUCAGCCACACUGGGACUGAGACACGGCCCAGACUCCUACGGGAGGCAGCAGUGGGGAAUCUUGCACAAUGGGCGAAAGCCUGAUGCAGCAACGCCGCGUGCGGGAAGAACGCCUUAGGGUUGUAAACCGCUUUCAGCACGGAAGAGAAUGACGGUACCUGUAGAAGAACGUGCGGCCAACUACGUGCCAGCAGCCGCGGUGACACGUAGGCACCAAGCGUUGUACGGAUUUAUUGGGCGUAAGAGCUCGUAGGCGGUUCGGUAAGACGGGUGUGAGAACUCUGGGCUCACCCAGAGACGCAACCCCGAUACUGCUGUGACUAGAGUGCGGUAGGGGAGCUGGGACUUCCUGGUGUACCGGUGAAUGCGCAAAUAUCCGAGGAACACACUGCGANGCCCGCUCUGGCNUACUGACCUAUACGAACGUGGACAAAGGAUGAUACUGUAUCAUGGCAAUCGCCCUGCGCCUCUAUGAUCACUCGUCAGCUGCUAUUUGUCU